ACAUGCUUACAACAUAGCGUUGAUGCACUCGAUCCCUUUAGAUAUCCAUAGUGAAUCAAGAUCGGGCUAGAGUAGUACUGGGAUGGUGACUUCCCGAGAAUUUCUAGUAUUUUACAUGCC
Molecule: non-coding RNA, 120 nt
Organism: Picea glauca (white spruce)
Lineage: Eukaryota; Viridiplantae; Streptophyta; Pinopsida; Pinales; Pinaceae
Source: Rfam